AUUUUGUCAACGCCGUCCGUUCACUCUCUUCCAGGCCUGGAAGAGAGUGAACUGACGGCGCGGACAAAUUACCAAGUAAGGAUUGCAGCGAGUCAAUCCAGUCAAAAGUAUAGAGAACUAUUUUCCUAAAAAGGAAAAACGAAAUAAAACAAAUGAUUGAGCUCAUUUUGCUGAUGUGGAGCAUCUGAUCACGUGCGCAGAAGGCUGCAGAUCAGCAAAAAUAUCAUGUGUGAAUGCAUGGGAGUGAAUGUGAGUGAUGGGACCAAGAGGGGAAAUAAAUAAAAGGUUGACAAACAGGACAAGUGGGAGACUUAAAUCUGGGGAUGCUGAUUUUGGGAUAUUGAUGUGUGCGUUGAGAAAAUUAUUUAUUGGGGUUGGAUUAUGUUAUUACAUUAUAGGAUGUUAAAUGCUAAAAGGGAAACAUUGAUGUAACUUAAGUUACCAUGAACGGAGGGGACACAUGAUUAAUAACUGUUCUGUGUAAGUUUAUUUUGUGUUAUAACACAGGUUGGAUCAUCAGUGGAGAAAGUGAGUAUAAAAGGUGAUGUUCUGGUUAACACACAGGCUUUUGUUUAUAGGACGUUUCAAGGAUGCAGGCUGUGGAUGGAGCCAAGAAAAGAUUUGACAUGAUGAUUAAUUUGAUUUCAUUCCUUAAAAACAGGUUUGAAGGUCCGGAGCAUGUAGACUUAAUAUGAUAUGACUAACCUUUUUAAUGCCCUAACCUGAGUGAAGGAUUUUGAGUUUGUAACACAUGAGAUGUGUCACAAAAAGGG
Long non-coding RNA from Oreochromis aureus, 773 nucleotides. NCBI's taxonomy places the organism in Eukaryota, Metazoa, Chordata, Actinopteri, Cichliformes, Cichlidae. The record is from Ensembl.